AAAAAAAUGAGGGGGAGGGGAGGGAGGGAGGGAGGAGAACGAAAAGGAAAAGUUAGAUGGUCUUCAGUAAUGAUGUGGUGUCUUUUCCUUCCUUCCUUCCUUCCUUCCUUUCUCCCUCCCUUAUUUU
RNAcentral lists this microRNA precursor (127 nucleotides) under Trypanosoma vivax Y486. The record is from RNAcentral. Lineage: Eukaryota; Euglenozoa; Kinetoplastea; Trypanosomatida; Trypanosomatidae.